UACGUAGGUGGCAAGCGUUGUUCGGAAUUAUUGGGCGUAAAGGGCGCGUAGGCGGUUUGCUAAGUCAGUUGUGAAAGCCCGGGGCUCAACCCCGGAGGGUCGGCUGAUACUGGUGGACUAGAGUACGGUAGAGGCAGGUGGAAUUCCCGGUGUAGCGGUGGAAUGCGUAGAGAUCGGGAAGAACAUCGGUGGCGAAGGCGGCCUGCUGGGCCGUUGCUGACGCUGAGGCGCGACAGCGUGGGGAGCAAACAGG
RNAcentral lists this ribosomal RNA (253 nucleotides) under uncultured bacterium. Its description in RNAcentral is "partial 16S ribosomal RNA". It matches the Rfam family "Bacterial small subunit ribosomal RNA", at positions 524 to 776 of the family's 1533-position model. The record is from RNAcentral.